Molecule: long non-coding RNA, 303 nt
Organism: Gastrolobium bilobum
Lineage: Eukaryota; Viridiplantae; Streptophyta; Magnoliopsida; Fabales; Fabaceae
Exons: 3
Source: RefSeq, a predicted model, not a curated record
CCGAACCCGUUCCACCGAUUAGUUUCCCUUGAAACCCUCUCUAUGCUGAGAAAAGAGCCAUAUACAGCCACGAAAUUCUUAGGAUUUUUGUGAUUUUGGGGUUGAUUUCUUGAGCCAUUGCUUGUGGAGUUCUAGGAGGAGUCUUGUGACGUAAUUGUGGGUUGCCGUACGUCGAUUUGAACACCGAACCGUGAGUCGGUGGAUUGCCCUUGGUCCUGGACCAAGUGGGAUUGAGGCGUUCUGUUGAGUAACAAACUUGGAACCUAAGCUGCUGUGGAGCUAAGUGGAGUAACAUAUUGAGGU